GGCCCUGUAGUCUAAUGGCAGAACACAUCGUUUACGCCGAUGGGGCGGAGGUUCGAUUCCUCCCAGGGCCA
RNAcentral lists this transfer RNA (71 nucleotides) under Candidatus Pacearchaeota archaeon. Its description in RNAcentral is "tRNA-Val". It matches the Rfam family "tRNA". From Rfam's summary of the family: Transfer RNA (tRNA) molecules are approximately 80 nucleotides in length. The record is from RNAcentral. Lineage: Archaea; Nanobdellati.